GACGAACGCUGGCGGCGUGCCUAAUACAUGCAAGUAGGACGCAGUUGCGAACGUGUGAGUAACGCGUAGGUAACUACCUAUUAGAGGGGGCUAACUAUUGGAAACGAUAGCUAAUACCGUCUACUAGUAGAUGGACCUGCGUUGUAUUAGCUAGUAGGUAGGGUAAUGGCCUACCUAGGCAAAGAUACAUAGCCGACCUUGGAGGGUGAAAGGCCACACUGGGACGUAGAAACGGCCCAGACCCCUACGGGAGGCAGCAGUAGGGAAUCUUCGGCAAUGGGGGGAACCCUUACCGAGCAAAGCCGCGGGAGUGAAGAAGGGUUUCGGAUCGUAAAGCUACGUUGUUAAGGAAGCGGUACUUAAACAGAAAGGGACGGCUAACUACGUGCCAGCAGCCGCGGUAAUAC
RNAcentral lists this ribosomal RNA (407 nucleotides) under uncultured bacterium. RNAcentral's name for it is "partial 16S ribosomal RNA". It matches the Rfam family "Bacterial small subunit ribosomal RNA", at positions 28 to 526 of the family's 1533-position model. The record is from RNAcentral.